UACGGAGGGUGUAAGCGUUGUCCGGAUUUAUUGGGUUAAAGGGUAGGCGUAGGCGGCUUUUUAAGGUUCAGUGGUGGAAAUAACAGCAGCUCAACUGUUGAGGUGCCAUUGAUACUGAGAGGCUUGAGUACAGAUGAGGUAGGCGGAAUUUAUGGUGUAGCGGUGAAAUGCAUAGAUACCAUAAAGAACACCGAUUGCGAAGGCAGCUUACUAAGCUGUAACUGACGCUGAGGCACGAAAAGCGUGGGGAGCGAACAGG
Molecule: ribosomal RNA, 259 nt
Filed under: uncultured bacterium
Lineage: Bacteria
Description: partial 16S ribosomal RNA
Rfam family: Bacterial small subunit ribosomal RNA
Source: RNAcentral